This 612-nucleotide long non-coding RNA is filed under the name Oreochromis niloticus (Nile tilapia). RNAcentral describes it as "lncRNA (ENSONIG00000032944.1)". Lineage: Eukaryota; Metazoa; Chordata; Actinopteri; Cichliformes; Cichlidae. The record is from RNAcentral.
AAUGUCUUUAAUAUCUAUGAUUUAAUACUUAUUAUUCAACUAACUGCAUGUCUCUGGACUGUGGGAGGAAGCCAGACUACCAAGAGAAAACUGAAAACUGCUUGUAUAUAACAGGAGUCUGAUCUGACUUACAGCUUCAAAGCCCAGAACACCAUCACAGCUGAGCCUGGACAGGCUGUAGUUCUACCAUGUCGAGUUCCAUCAGACAAAAUCAUGCAAGGUAUGAAGUGGAACAGAGCUGACCUGGGAGAUAAUUAUGUGCUUUUUUUCCGGGAUGACCGGCUGGAUCCAGAUGGUCAGCAUCCAUCUUUUAAGAACCGGGUGGAUCUGCAGGACAGGAAUAUGAAUAAUGGAGACGUGUCUCUGGUUCUGAAGAAUGUGACGACUGCUGAUGAUGGAUCAUACAAUUGUAAUAUUUUCAACAAAGUGACAAAAUCAUGGGAGAGCAUCAACACUGUCAGCCUGACUGUUUCAGGUCAGACAGCAGAACUCACAGUUGCACCUGUUGGACUCAUCGCUGGUCUGAGUGUUCCUGCUGUGAUUCUUGUUGCUGCUGCUGUUGGUUUUGUGUGCUACAGAAAACAUAAAAAACAGAACCGGGAUUUUAACUAG